Molecule: long non-coding RNA, 511 nt
Filed under: Pan paniscus (pygmy chimpanzee)
Lineage: Eukaryota; Metazoa; Chordata; Mammalia; Primates; Hominidae
Description: lncRNA (ENSPPAG00000044862.1)
Source: RNAcentral
GAUCGGACGGUUUAAAAAUGUACCACGUCGUGUUCUUCAUGUUCUUCACCGGCCGUGGGUGGAAAGAUGUGGAUGAAUUGAGAAGCAGCUUGAAUGCAUCGCUAAAAGAUGCCAGGUGGGGUUUGUGAUGUUAAUUCCCACCCCCGUUUCUGGGCAGGCCUUCGGACUGCGGGCCUUCUCUCCUAGGGGUCUUUUCCCACCCCCACACUCAGGAGCGUGUACAGAUGUUCCCUCUUCCUCCAAGAAAGUGUACCUGAAAUAUGCCAUACGUGUGCCCAGGAGCCACAGCCACAAGCAGGGACAUCUCAACCUCAGGACCUCUGCAUGGCAUCAUCAAGGAGCCAGAGACCCAGAAAGCCUGGAUGCCAAAGGUCACAUGGAGGUAAACAGGAAGCAUAGAACCCCAGGUGCUGUCAGGAGCUACCUGACAACCACAUGGGAAAUCAUUCCGAAGGUGAAGCUGCCACAGAGAGCAAGAGACACAGCCCUGGUGACUUUAUCAACCUCUUGA